CUCUCCACGAGCGGAGCAGCAUGCAUUUCCUCCAAACCACCUGGUAGCCUGCAGUCACCCCGGCUGCCCCAUCCCUUGGCUACACCCAUCACAGGACCCUCCCGUCUCUCCCUCCCUCCCCGCCUGCUCUUUGAACUAUCCGAUGAAUCCCCUGGAGAUUAUGUGCAUUUAGAUGUUUUCCCUCCUCCAUCCUGAGUUUCCACGCUUUCUUCAUCCUUCUUUUCUCAAAGCUAUUGCUGUUAAAACCCCUGUCAGCCUCCAGAGGCCCGCCUCUUCCACCACUGUUCCUGUUCUGCUGUCAGUCUUUCUCUCUGAAUAAACGCCAUCUUAGAUCUCCUGUGAGAGUGAAGGCAGCAGGGAGCGUCUGCACUGCCGUCAGCUGUUCGUACUAUUUGAAAGCAUAUCAUAGGGGCAACAUCUCAGAAGUUACUUUAUUCGUGUGUCCUAGGUUUUACAGAUGUUCGAGGACACAAUUGGACAAAGUUCCAUCCCCAUUUGAGGUUGUUGAAGGUUUUAAGAACAGGUCAGGCGGAGGGGUCGCCAGUCAGCUAGGAAAGGCUGUUUGAGAUGUUACUGCAGUGUCAGGACAUUUCAGCUAAAUUGCCUCAGCUUAGGUAAAAACGUUUUAUUUUCAAAAUGGAUGUUCUGUGUAGAUUUUAGGUGGUUUGUAAGGAGCAUUACUUUGGUGUUUAAUACUGUUAGAGCAAUUUAAGAAUUGAUGAUUAGCACAGAUCACACUAUUUAUUGAUUUUGUUUGUUUUUAUGUUGUCAAUUAAGAUUUUUGAGUGACUUGAGGCAGUUUUCUUAAAUAUGAUAUGCUGCUGGUGUGCUGAUACUGAAACACUAUCUGAUCAAAACACCACAUGCCUUGGCCAUCAGUUGUCAAUAAGGCCGAGCAUAUCGGUGGUUUCCUACAGCUAACAACUGGAUCUUAAACCUGUGA
This is a long non-coding RNA of Etheostoma spectabile (orangethroat darter), 943 nucleotides long. RefSeq lists it as uncharacterized. The record is from RefSeq and is a predicted model, not a curated record. The transcript is spliced from 3 exons. NCBI's taxonomy places the organism in Eukaryota, Metazoa, Chordata, Actinopteri, Perciformes, Percidae.